GAUGAAGAACGUAGCGAAAUGCGAUAAGUAAUGUGAAUUGCAGAAUUCAGUGAAUCAUCGAGUCUUUGAACGCACAUUGCGCCCCCUGGUAUUCCGGGGGGCAUGCCUGUCCGAGCGUCAUUGCUGCCCUCAAGCACGGCUUGUGUGUUGGGCCCCCGUCCCCGGUUUCCCCCGGGGACGGGCCCGAAAGGCAGCGGCGGCACCGCGUCCGGUCCUCGAGCGUAUGGGGCUUUGUCACCCGCUCUGUAGGCCCGGCCGGCGCUUGCCGACACAUCAAUCUUUUUUCCAGGUUGACCUCGGAUCAGGUAGGGAUACCCGCUGAACUUAAGCAUAUCAAUAAGCGGAGGA
RNAcentral lists this unclassified non-coding RNA (348 nucleotides) under soil metagenome. RNAcentral's name for it is "partial contains 5.8S ribosomal RNA, internal transcribed spacer 2, and large subunit ribosomal RNA". The stretch from base 1 to 120 matches the Rfam family "5.8S ribosomal RNA", at positions 35 to 154 of the family's 154-position model. The record is from RNAcentral.